CAAUAGCGUAUAUUAAAGUUGUUGCGGUAAAAAAGCUCGUAGUUGGAUUUCUACCGAAGAUAGCCGGUCGGGUCUUCGACCUUGUAUCUGGUUUUGUCUUUGGUAUCCUCAUAGGGAACGUUUCUGCGCUUUAUUGCGUGGUGCGGUGUCUAUGACUUUUACUUUGAGGAAAUUAGAGUGUUCACGGCAGGCAAACGCCUUGAAUAUAUUAGCAUGGAAUAAUAACAUAGGAUCUUCGUCCUAUUUUGUUGGUUUCUAGGGCUAAGAUAAUGAUUAAUAGGGAUAAUUGGGGGCAUCUGUAUCAACGCGUCAGAGGUGGAAUUCUUGGAUUGCGUUGCGACAAACUACUGCGAAAGCAUUUGCCAAGGAUGUUUUCAUUGA
This 381-nucleotide ribosomal RNA is filed under the name uncultured eukaryote. RNAcentral describes it as "partial 18S ribosomal RNA". It matches the Rfam family "Eukaryotic small subunit ribosomal RNA", at positions 592 to 976 of the family's 1831-position model. The record is from RNAcentral.